UCCUGACUGACCGAUAGUGAACCAGUACCGUGAGGGAAAGGCGAAAAGAACCCCGGCGAGGGGAGUGAAAAAGAACCUGAAACCGUGUACGUACAAGCAGUGGGAGCACGCUUAGGCGUGUGACUGCGUACCUUUUGUAUAAUGGGUCAGCGACUUAUAUUCUGUAGCAAGGUUAACCGAAUAGGGGAGCCGAAGGGAAACCGAGUCUUAACUGGGCGUUAAGUUGCAGGGUAUAGACCCGAAACCCGGUGAUCUAGCCAUGGGCAGGUUGAAGGUUGGGUAACACUAACUGGAGGACCGAACCGACUAAUGUUGAAAAAUUAGCGGAUGACUUGUGGCUGGGGGUGAAAGGCCAAUCAAACCGGGAGAUAGCUGGUUCUCCCCGAAAGCUAUUUAGGUAGCGCCUCGUGAAUUCAUCUCCGGGGGUAGAGCACUGUUUCGGCAAGGGGGUCAUCCCGACUUACCAACCCGAUGCAAACUGCGAAUACCGGAGAAUGUUAUCACGGGAGACACACGGCGGGUGCUAACGUCCGUCGUGAAGAGGGAAACAACCCAGACCGCCAGCUAAGGUCCCAAAGUCAUGGUUAAGUGGGAAACGAUGUGGGAAGGCCCAGACAGCCAGGAUGUUGGCUUAGAAGCAGCCAUCAUUUAAAGAAAGCGUAAUAGCUCACUGGUCGAGUC
Molecule: ribosomal RNA, 681 nt
Filed under: Escherichia coli
Lineage: Bacteria; Pseudomonadati; Pseudomonadota; Gammaproteobacteria; Enterobacterales; Enterobacteriaceae
Also listed under: 1 other name
Description: partial 23S ribosomal RNA
Rfam family: Bacterial large subunit ribosomal RNA
Source: RNAcentral